Molecule: ribosomal RNA, 411 nt
Filed under: bacterium enrichment culture clone ALO1_GLFRUDD03HAEIN
Lineage: Bacteria
Description: bacterial SSU rRNA
Rfam family: Bacterial small subunit ribosomal RNA
Source: RNAcentral
GAGUUUGAUCUUGGCUCAGAUUGAACGCUGGCGGCAUGCCUUACACAUGCAAGUCGAACGGCAGCACGGGAGCUUGCUCCUGGUGGCGAGUGGCGAACGGGUGAGUAAUGCAUCGGAACGUAUCCUGGAGUGGGGGAUAACGUAGCGAAAGUUACGCUAAUACCGCAUAUUCUGUGAGCAGGAAAGCGGGGGACCUUCGGGCCUCGCGCUCUUGGAGCGGCCGAUGUCGGAUUAGCUAGUUGGUGAGGUAAAGGCGUCACCAAGGCGACGAUCCGUAGCAGGGUCUGAGAGGAUGAUCUGCCACACUGGAACUGAGACACGGUCCAGACUCCUACGGGAGGCAGCAGUGGGAAUUUUGGACAAUGGGGGCAACCCUGAUCCAGCCAUGCCGCGUGAGUGAAGAAGGCCUGG